Molecule: ribosomal RNA, 802 nt
Filed under: uncultured bacterium
Lineage: Bacteria
Description: bacterial SSU rRNA
Rfam family: Bacterial small subunit ribosomal RNA
Source: RNAcentral
UUUCAGUUUGCUUGCAAACUGGAGAUGGCGACCGGCGCACGGGUGAGUAACACGUAUCCAACCUGCCGAUAACUCGGGGAUAGCCUUUCGAAAGAAAGAUUAAUACCCGAUGGCAUAAUUAGACCGCAUGGUCUUAUUAUUAAAGAAUUUCGGUUAUCGAUGGGGAUGCGUUCCAUUAGGCAGUUGGUGAGGUAACGGCUCACCAAACCUUCGAUGGAUAGGGGUUCUGAGAGGAAGGUCCCCCACAUUGGAACUGAGACACGGUCCAAACUCCUACGGGAGGCAGCAGUGAGGAAUAUUGGUCAAUGGGCGCAGGCCUGAACCAGCCAAGUAGCGUGAAGGAUGACUGCCCUAUGGGUUGUAAACUUCUUUUAUAUGGGAAUAAAGUUUUCCACGUGUGGAAUUUUGUAUGUACCAUAUGAAUAAGGAUCGGCUAACUCCGUGCCAGCAGCCGCGGUAAUACGGAGGAUCCGAGCGUUAUCCGGAUUUAUUGGGUUUAAAGGGAGCGUAGGUGGACAGUUAAGUCAGUUGUGAAAGUUUGCGGCUCAACCGUAAAAUUGCAGUUGAUACUGGCUGUCUUGAGUACAGUAGAGGUGGGCGGAAUUCGUGGUGUAGCGGUGAAAUGCUUAGAUAUCGCGAAGAACUCCGAUUGCGAAGGCAGCUCACUGGACUGCAACUGACACUGAUGCUCGAAAGUGUGGGUAUCAAACAGGAUUAGAUACCCUGGUAGUCCACACAGUAAACGAUGAAUACUCGCUGUUUGCGAUAUACAGUAAGCGGCCAAGCGAAAGCAUUAAGUAUU